CCCUGACAGUCGCAUGGGGCGACUGACUCAACCCAAGACAGGAGAUACACAUG
Molecule: non-coding RNA, 53 nt
Filed under: unclassified sequences
Description: Mu-gpT-DE RNA
Rfam family: Mu-gpT-DE RNA
Source: Rfam by way of RNAcentral